GUGGGGAAUAUUGGACAAUGGGCGCAAGCCUGAUCCAGCCAUGCCGCGUGAGUGAUGAAGGCCUUAGGGUUGUAAAGCUCUUUUGUCCGGGAAGAUAAUGACUAUACCGGAAGAAUAAGCCCCGGCUAACUUCGUGCCAGCAGCCGCGGUAAUACGAAGGGGGUUAGCGUUGUUCGGAAUAACUGGGCGUAAAGCGCACGUAGGCGGACCAUUAAGUCAAGGGUGAAAGCCUGGAGCUCAACUCCAGAACUGCCUUUGAUACUGAUGGUCUCGAGUAUGGAAGAGGUUGGUGGAACUGCGAGUGUAGAGGUGAAAUUCGUAGAUAUUCGCAAGAACACCGGUGGCGAAGGCGGCCAACUGGUCCAAUACUGACGCUUAGGUGCGAAAGCGUGGGGAGCAAACAGGAUUAGAUACCCGGGUAGUCC
Molecule: ribosomal RNA, 425 nt
Filed under: uncultured bacterium
Lineage: Bacteria
Description: bacterial SSU rRNA
Rfam family: Bacterial small subunit ribosomal RNA
Source: RNAcentral